CAGUAGCCGCGGUAAUACGUAGGGUGCAAGCGUUGUCCGGAAUUAUUGGGCGUAAAGAGCUCGUAGGCGGUUUGUCGCGUCUGCUGUGAAAUCCCGAGGCUCAACCUCGGGCUUGCAGUGGGUACGGGCAGACUAGAGUGCGGUAGGGGAGAUUGGAAUUCCUGGUGUAGCGGUGGAAUGCGCAGAUAUCAGGAGGAACACCGAUGGCGAAGGCAGAUCUCUGGGCCGUAACUGACGCUGAGGAGCGAAAGCGUGGGGAGCGAACAGGAUUAGAUACCCGAGUAGUCCCUGUCUCUUAUAA
This 301-nucleotide ribosomal RNA is filed under the name uncultured bacterium. RNAcentral's name for it is "partial 16S ribosomal RNA". It matches the Rfam family "Bacterial small subunit ribosomal RNA", at positions 509 to 809 of the family's 1533-position model. The record is from RNAcentral.